GUCCUCUUCCCUUUCUUCUUAUCUCAUGCUCGCUUGCGGAUCGUCUCACUGCUGCUCCCGACUGCAUGCAAGGCUUCAGUAUUAGUAGUGAACUCACCACAAAACGGUAACAUCUCUAAAGUUUGCACCAUCAUCUCAUCUGAAGCAUGAUGUACCAUAAAACACAUGGAGCAUUUCUGUCAAAAUUUUCAUGUAAACACUUGGAAUGAGACUGUACCUGGGCUCAGAAAUCUCCUCAUGUGGAAGAAGAAAAAGCAAAAAAAAUCUACUGCUGGAGCACUGACUGUGGCAAACAGAAGACACUGUGUAAUAGCUUCAGCUGCUCAGUGGUGUGGUGAUGAUAUCUUCUGUCUUAUUAUGGCUGCUUGGAUGCUUCAAAGAAAGAUCACCUUAAAGGUUUCUAAAACUGUAUCUUUUAUAGCAGAUGUGUGAAGGGAUGUGCAAAUCAAAGGGCUUCUGUCAUUUCUGGCUGAAGUCCAAACAUCUUGGAACAACUCAGCAGAGAGUUUGAAUUGCUCACUCCAUCAUCUAUAGUGGAAUAAGUCUAAUAAUCAGAAUUCUUCUGAAGUGAUCAAAAAUUUAUGCCUAGGCAGGCUUACAGUGUUAGAGAUGCAUACUAUGUAUUAGGAGUUAAAACAUCACAUUUGAGUAUUUCUGCCAAAAUUUUUGUCUGUUUCUGCUAUAAUUUCAGGAGAACUUGGUGGCAGCUAUUAAGGUUAGUGAGUUACUGUAAAUAAGUUGUUUGAGUACAUUUGCAUUGGAAGAAUAUUCAGUGAAAUUAGGGUCAGUGUUAUAGACAGUAGAACACUUUGGCAAAUCUAACAAGGAAUUUAAAAGUUAAUAAAGCAGAAAUGUAUGUAUCUCACCCUUAUGUCCCUAUAAUAAAUAAAUCUCAUCAUUUAAGAGAAAAUCUUCCAUUUGAACUAAAAGAAAUUGUAUUCAUUUGUUAAAGAAUUAUUGAUGUUUCUUGUGGAAAAACUGAUAACAAACUGGCAAGAGUUGCUGUAUUCAGAUAAAUCUUAGCCAAAUGUUUCUUUGACCAGUAUAUCCUUUCUACGGUUUGUGAAUGGCUUGACAGUCAAAGGCACAGUUUUCUUCCACUUCUCUUCAAAAAUAUUAUCUCUUUAUGUUCUUCAAAUAUCAAAGCACGGCUUUGUUGAAGUGGAGGAAAAUACUGCUUGCCUUGAUUGCAGCUGGGGAGAUCCUGACCAGAAAGGAAGAACAGAUAUUUGGCACAUAGCCUUUGAAAAUAUGAAAGGUGGGAACUGAGAGGAGGGCAGGCAGGCAGGUGGGAAAGGGCUGAGGCAUUAACAUCGCACUGCACAAGUGGAAGGAUGCUUCAUACCAAGCAGAACUUAACAGGAGGCUGCUGUGGUCUUUGCCUCCACUGUCCGUAGUAAAUUUGCACCUAGUGUGUAUUUUCUGUUACAUCAGCAUGCAAAUGUAAUGAACAAUAUUAAUAAGCUUCAAAGGUCAUCCUCCUCUCUACUUAUGACAAGAACUGUUUCAUCAAUUGUCCAUUCGGUUAUAGCAGCCUCCACAGAUUAUUCAGGCAAGGAAAAUAAUUUUUUUUUUCAUUUGUGUUUUUGGAUUUAUCUGCCCACUCCUCUGUCCAAGUUUCAUAACACACUGGGGCAAGAAUUCAACAUCUGAAUUACAGGAAAAUUAAGCAUGCAGUCCUGUUUUUGUUUCUGCUAUGUGUGUGUGGUUUUUUUUUUUAAUGUAAUGCAUAAUCACAUCAUUAAAUAAGAUUUGAUAGUAUUAAUGUCAGGCAUCCCCUAUGAGACCUUUUGCUUUUCAAGUUGCCUUCGAUACCAAUAAAAAUACUCUAGCAAACACUUGCUAAAAUGUAAUUUUCAUGUGCUUACUUCUGCAUUUCAAACCCAAACAUGACAAGCAGUUUCCUUUCAGCAUUAGUAUCUGUUCUGGGUUUAUUUACAAUCUGUUGAGAACAACAACAACAAAAAAUUCAGUGUGAGUUUCUUUAUCUUAAAUAGUGGACAACAGAGCUAAUAUCUAAAACUAUCUAUUAGCAUGUCAGUUGAAGUGAUAUCAUACUCCCCCAGAAUAGUAGGUCUACUUUGAACAAGACUGUGAUUUAUGAUUCAGAAUCUCAAUAACUAUCUUUCUAAGCCAGUAAAGAUGACAUCUGGGUAGAACAGAUCUAGACCUAUUCAAACCACAUAGAUUUUACUAUUUAUAAAUUCAAAUUAUCUGUUUUCAACAUUGAAAGAGUGUUUCAGAAUGACUAAAAGGAACUGAUCAAUAGUGUACAACAGGCUAACUUAACCACAGGCUUCAUUGGCAACAUGCAAGAGAGAAUUUCUAAAUGUAGCAAUUUAGAAAACUGGUGGUUAGCCUUUGUUCAUCUUGUAUUUGGUGUGAACUAGGAAAUAAACUCAGCUAAAUAUAAAUGAUAGCUCUUAUAUGGCAGUUCCCUAUAAAUUUUUUUAAUAUUAAUCAUUAUAUUCCUGUAAAAAAUAAGAACUGUAAAGGCACUUGAAUUUAGAUUUUUAGUUGAAGCUUUAAGAGCUGUGGGUUUUGUCACAUACAGAAUUAAAAAAGGCAACAGAAGUCUCCUUGCACGCUGGAAGUCAGCUUGAUUAAAACUGAAGCUGCAGAAGCCAAAAGGGCAAAACUUUCACUGACUUCAACUGUGAAGAGAAAAAUACCCAGGAAGAACUUUUCGAUGCUAUUGCAAAUAUGGCACAAAUGUAGGAAUUGCAUGACCUGAGAUCUGGCUUAGAUUAUUUGAGAGUUUUCUUUUUCCUCUGUUUUUUUACUUGACUACACCCCAGAAUUCCUGUUCAUCUCAUUUUAAUGUGCUUGCCACAGCGUUCUCCCCACCCCCCCUCCAAAAAAAAAAAAAUACAAACUUUGGUGACGUGUACAGUGUGAUCAACUUCUGAAGUUUAAGUAGAAGUAGCAUUUCAUAAUAGGUGAACUGAAAAAACUUGCACUGAAUUUACUAAUACAAACUGUUGACUCAUUCUAUUAGCUUUGCAUGGGGCUUAGCUAUUGAAUCAAACUGCAUACGCCGCUGUGCUAAGAAGCUUGAAGUGUCUCGUUGACCAUUGCUUUUCAGGAGAGGGAAGCUGCCUCACUGAAAUCAACCACUGUCUUCAGUAAGGACAGAUUUUUCUUCUGGAAGAGUCAUAGUCAUUUCCAGAAGUGAUGAAUAAUGUAGUACUGUAAUACUUUUUUUUUUUUUUUUUUGUCAGUAAAUGGACACUUAGUGUACAUAAUUGUAUUUCCUUAGUAUUGUUUAUCUUAAGCUCAAGAUGUGUAAUUCAUUUAGUGUUUUAUAAAUUGUUCUUUUGAAAUUGUGCCAGAUAUUAGAACAAAAAUUGGAAUGACCAUAGUAUUAUUCUUUAAUAUGGAGCACACAUAUAAACAGAAAGAACUGACUUGAAAUAAUUCAGACUUAUUAUAAAUAAGCACUGAAAAGUGCAGAUGUGAAAAAUAUAACUAUAUGAUUAAUUAUCCAGAAAAAUAAAGUGAACGCAUGCUAUAAACAAAUUAAAUGCAAACUUGCUCAUAGAAAAAGCAUGUUUUCUCUGUCCAAAACUAGAUUUAAUUUCUACUGAUAAUUAGAAACUCUGCUAAUAAUAAUACUGAACACUAAAUAUUCCUAUAAAAUAUUUAAUUUAGGAUAAGAUUUGAAAUACAGGGAGCUGCAAAUACUUCUUAUUUCUUUUAGUAGCGUGUGCUUCAGCAGUUUUCAGAUAUGCUGUCUUCUAGAAUGCUAUAUCUUCUAGAUGGCACCAGCCUUGUGAUACUUCUGAUCUAUUUUGGUUUUGAAACCUUUCCAGGUUAUUUGGAGUAUUUACAUCUCUUGCACCAAAUGUAAAUGAACUUACUACAUGAUCAAAUUUCAUCAGAAUAAUAAAUUAUCCUAGUUUAUUCCUUAUGCUGUAAGCAUGCAUCCUUGAGACUUUCAAUGUGUAGUUUAUGGAAAA
Molecule: long non-coding RNA, 3959 nt
Organism: Gallus gallus (chicken)
Lineage: Eukaryota; Metazoa; Chordata; Aves; Galliformes; Phasianidae
Exons: 3
Source: RefSeq, a predicted model, not a curated record